RNAcentral lists this long non-coding RNA (211 nucleotides) under Ricinus communis (castor bean). RNAcentral describes it as "long non-coding RNA (RCOM_LNC000061)". Lineage: Eukaryota; Viridiplantae; Streptophyta; Magnoliopsida; Malpighiales; Euphorbiaceae. The record is from RNAcentral.
UCCAAAAUAAAAGAAGAAAAGGCAUAAUAACAUGAUCAGCAACUAAGACUAAGAACAGGCAACAGGCUAAAUGAUGAGCAACCUUAUUUUCAUGUCUACUAAUAUAAUUGCAAGUGAAACUAGAAAAGCACAAGAAACUUAAGGUAAGAAUAUCAAAAAGAGAGAGGACCGAGUCGAGUUGAAUUAUAAGUAAUGGAUUUAGCUACUGUCA